GACGAACGCUGGCGGCGUGCUUAACACAUGCAAGUCGAGCGAGGCCCCUCCUUCGGGAGGGUGCCCUAGCGGCGAACGGGUGAGUAACACGUGGGCAACCUGCCUCUAGCUCUGGGAUAACCCCGGGAAACCGGGGCUAAUACCGGAUACGACCCGGGGCGACAUCGUCUCGGGUGGAAAGAUUUAUCGGCUAGAGAUGGGCCCGCGGCCUAUCAGCUUGUUGGCGGGGUGACGGCCCACCAAGGCGACGACGGGUAGCCGGCCUGAGAGGGCGAUC
Molecule: ribosomal RNA, 277 nt
Filed under: uncultured bacterium
Lineage: Bacteria
Description: partial 16S ribosomal RNA
Rfam family: Bacterial small subunit ribosomal RNA
Source: RNAcentral